RNAcentral lists this ribosomal RNA (495 nucleotides) under uncultured bacterium. Its description in RNAcentral is "bacterial SSU rRNA". It matches the Rfam family "Bacterial small subunit ribosomal RNA", at positions 28 to 521 of the family's 1533-position model. The record is from RNAcentral.
GACGAACGCUGGCGGCGCGCCUAACACAUGCAAGUCGAACGGAGAUCAUUUGGUAGAAGUUUUCGGAUGGACACCGAGUGAUCUUAGUGGCGAACGGGUGAGUAACGCGUGAGCAAUCUGCCUCAGAGUGGGGGACAACAGUUGGAAACGACUGCUAAUACCGCAUAAGCCCACAGCACCGCAUGGUGCAGGGGGAAAAGAUUUAUUGCUUUGAGAUGAGCUCGCGUCCAAUUAGCUGGUUGGUGAGGUAACGGCCCACCAAGGCGACGAUUGGUAGCCGGACUGAGAGGUUGAACGGCCACAUUGGGACUGAGAUACGGCCCAGACUCCUACGGGAGGCAGCAGUGGGGAAUAUUGCACAAUGGGGGGAACCCGUGAUGCAGCGACGCCGCGUGGAGGAAGAAGGUCUUCGGAUUGUAAACUCCUGUUGUUAGGGACGAUAAUGACGGUACCUAACAAGGAAGCACCGGCUAACUACGUGCCAGCAGCCGCGGU